UACGUAGGGUGCAAGCGUUGUCCGGAUUUAUUGGGCGUAAAGAGCUCGUAGGCGGUUUGUCGCGUCUGCUGUGAAAACUCGGGGCUUAACUCCGGGCCUGCAGUGGGUACGGGCAGACUAGAGUGCGGUAGGGGAGACUGGAAUUCCUGGUGUAGCGGUGAAAUGCGCAGAUAUCAGGAGGAACACCGGUGGCGAAGGCGGGUCUCUGGGCCGAUACUGACGCUGAGGAGCGAAAGCGUGGGGAGCGAACAGG
RNAcentral lists this ribosomal RNA (253 nucleotides) under uncultured bacterium. Its description in RNAcentral is "partial 16S ribosomal RNA". It matches the Rfam family "Bacterial small subunit ribosomal RNA", at positions 524 to 776 of the family's 1533-position model. The record is from RNAcentral.